UUUUGGACAAUGGGCGCAAGCCUGAUCCAGCAAUGCCGCGUGAGUGAAGAAGGCCUUCGGGUUGUAAAGCUCUUUUGUCAGGGAAGAAACGGUGAGCUCUAAUACAGUUUGCUAAUGACGGUACCUGAAGAAUAAGCACCGGCUAACUACGUGCCAGCAGCCGCGGUAAUACGUAGGGUGCAAGCGUUACCCGGAAUUACGGGGCGUAAAGCGUGCGCAGGCGGUUAUGUAAGUCAGAUGUGAAAUCCCCGGGCUCAACCUGGGAAUGGCAUUUGAGACUGCAUGGCUAGAGUGUGUCUGAGGGGGGUAGAAUUCCACGUGUAGCAGUGAAAUGCGUAGAGAUGUGGAGGAAUACCGAUGGCGAAGGCAGCCCCCUGGAUAACACUGACGCUCAUGCACGACA
This 403-nucleotide ribosomal RNA is filed under the name uncultured bacterium. Its description in RNAcentral is "bacterial SSU rRNA". It matches the Rfam family "Bacterial small subunit ribosomal RNA", at positions 362 to 758 of the family's 1533-position model. The record is from RNAcentral.